This 530-nucleotide ribosomal RNA is filed under the name uncultured Brevibacillus sp. RNAcentral describes it as "bacterial SSU rRNA". It matches the Rfam family "Bacterial small subunit ribosomal RNA", at positions 1 to 507 of the family's 1533-position model. Lineage: Bacteria; Bacillati; Bacillota; Bacilli; Caryophanales; Paenibacillaceae. The record is from RNAcentral.
GUAGAGUAGUUUCGAUCCGUGGCUACGAGGACACGCUGGCGGCGUGCCUAAUACAUGCAAGUCGAGCCGGGGUUUUGCGGGAGCUUGCUUCUGCGGAGCCUAGCGGCGGACGGGUGAGUAACACGUAGGCAACCUGCCCGUAAGACCGGGAUAACAUAGGGAAACUUAUGCUAAUACCGGAUAGGGGUUUCUUCUCGCAUGAGGGGAAACGGAAAGGUGGCGCAAGCUACCACUUGCGGAUGGGCCUGCGGCGCAUUAGCUAGUUGGUGAGGUAACGGCUCACCAAGGCGACGAUGCGUAGCCGACCUGAGAGGGUGACCGGCCACACUGGGACUGAGACACGGCCCAGACUCCUACGGGAGGCAGCAGUAGGGAAUUUUCCACAAUGGGCGAAAGCCUGAUGGAGCAACGCCGCGUGAACGAGGAAGGCCUUCGGGUUGUAAAGUUCUGUUGUCAGGGACGAAUAAGUGCCGUUCGAACAGGGCGGUACCUUGACGGUACCUGACGAGGAAGCCACGGCUAACUACGUG